RNAcentral lists this ribosomal RNA (511 nucleotides) under uncultured Verrucomicrobiota bacterium. RNAcentral describes it as "bacterial SSU rRNA". It matches the Rfam family "Bacterial small subunit ribosomal RNA", at positions 396 to 896 of the family's 1533-position model. Lineage: Bacteria; Pseudomonadati; Verrucomicrobiota. The record is from RNAcentral.
CCGGCGUGGAGGAGUGAAGGUCUUCGGAUUGUAAACUCCUGUCAGUCUGGGAGUAAGACCUGACGGUGAAUAGCCGGCAGGGUUGAUAGUACCAGAAGAGGAAGGGACGGCUAACUUCGUGCCAGCAGCCGCGGUAAUACGAAGGUCCCAAGCGUUGUUCGGAAUCACUGGGCGUAAAGGGAGCGUAGGCGGCGUGGUAAGUCAGAUGUGAAAUCCCGGGGCUCAACCCCGGAACUGCAUCCGAUACUGCCAUGCUUGAGGGUUGGAGAGGUAGCUGGAAUUCUCGGUGUAGCAGUGAAAUGCGUGGAUAUCGAGAGGAACACUCGUGGCGAAGGCGAGCUACUGGACAACAUCUGACGCUGAGGCUCGAAGGCCAGGGGAGCAAAAGGGAUUAGAUACCCCUGUAGUCCUGGCAGUAAACGGUGUGCGCUUGGUGUGAGGGGAUUCGACCCCCCUUGUGCCGGAGCUAACGCGUUAAGCGCACCGCCUGGGAAGUACGGCCGCAAGGCUA